CGAGGAUUCCCUUAGUAACUGCGAGUGAAACGGAAAAGCCCAGCGCUGAAUCCUUCAACCACUGGUUGCUAGGAAUUGUAGCGUAUAGAUGCGACUAUCCGUUCGUUUCGUGCACCCAAAGUCCCCUUGAGCGGGGCUAUAGUCCAAAGAAGGUGCUAGACCUGUACGGGUGGCGAAGCGAAUGGUUGAUCGCUCCUUGGAGUCGGGUUGCCUGGGAUCGCAGCCCAAAGUUGGUGGUAGAUCUCAUCUAAGGCUAAAUAUGGCCACGAAACCGAUAGCAAACAAGUACCGUGAGGGAAAGUUGCAAAGAACUUUGAAGAGAGAGUUCAAGAGGGCGUGAAACCGUUGAGAUUGAAACGGAUAGAGUUAACGGAACUCGGCUGCAUUCAUCCGAUCGGCUUAAUGGCUCAAUAGCGUUUGCAUUCUCGAUGAGAGCAACGUUAUCGAUAACUAUUCGGUAAUUGAUCGGUGUAUUUGCGGCUGGUAUGCGCUGAGAGUUUUGUGAUCGUAUGUUAACGGAUGUGAAGUGGACCAUUCUUUUCGGGCGUGGAACCCUUCAUAUCUUUAGGCAUAUCGAUUAUAAAAUUUUAAACGUAUCGUCUCCGCUAUUGUGCGUCGCCUUAUGUCUACUAUUGUGAUUAUUGAAUAUUCGCAUGCGAAUAUUUGUGGUCAACAAUAUUACGAUAUGAGUGAUAUGGACGCGUUGAGACGUAUAUCUCGGUGUGAACGUUGACCACCUAUCCGA
RNAcentral lists this ribosomal RNA (745 nucleotides) under Parascaris equorum. RNAcentral describes it as "eukaryotic LSU rRNA". It matches the Rfam family "Eukaryotic large subunit ribosomal RNA", at positions 69 to 647 of the family's 3401-position model. The record is from RNAcentral. Lineage: Eukaryota; Metazoa; Nematoda; Chromadorea; Rhabditida; Ascarididae.